RNAcentral lists this ribosomal RNA (253 nucleotides) under uncultured bacterium. Its description in RNAcentral is "partial 16S ribosomal RNA". It matches the Rfam family "Bacterial small subunit ribosomal RNA", at positions 524 to 776 of the family's 1533-position model. The record is from RNAcentral.
UACGUAGGUGGCAAGCGUUGUCCGGAAUUAUUGGGCGUAAAGGGCGCGUAGGCGGCCUCUUAAGUCAGAUGUGAAAACCCCGGGCUUAACUUGGGAACUGCAUCUGAUACUGGGAGGCUAGAGUGCAGGAGAGGUAAGUGGAAUUCCUAGUGUAGCGGUGAAAUGCGUAGAUAUUAGGAGGAACACCAGUGGCGAAGGCGACUUACUGGACUGUAACUGACGCUGAGGCGCGAAAGCGUGGGGAGCAAACAGG